UACGUAGGGGGCUAGCGUUGUCCGGAAUCAUUGGGCGUAAAGAGCGUGUAGGCGGUCCGGUAAGUCUGCUGUGAAAGUCCAGGGCUCAACCCUGGGAUGCCGGUGGAUACUGUCGGACUAGAGUACGGAAGAGGCGAGUGGAAUUCCCGGUGUAGCGGUGAAAUGCGCAGAUAUCGGGAGGAACACCAAUUGCGAAGGCAGCUCGCUGGGACGUCACUGACGCUGAGACGCGAAAGCGUGGGGAGCAAACAGG
RNAcentral lists this ribosomal RNA (253 nucleotides) under uncultured bacterium. RNAcentral describes it as "partial 16S ribosomal RNA". It matches the Rfam family "Bacterial small subunit ribosomal RNA", at positions 524 to 776 of the family's 1533-position model. The record is from RNAcentral.